AUUGAACGCUGGCGGCAUGCCUUACACAUGCAAGUCGAACGGCAGCAUGAUCUAGCUUGCUAGAUUGAUGGCGAGUGGCGAACGGGUGAGUAAUACAUCGGAACGUGCCGUGUAGUGGGGGAUAACUAGUCGAAAGAUUAGCUAAUACCGCAUACGACCUGAGGGUGAAAGUGGGGGACCGCAAGGCCUCAUGCUAUAGGAGCGGCCGAUGUCUGAUUAGCUAGUUGGUGAGGUAAAGGCUCACCAAGGCGACGAUCAGUAGCUGGUCUGAGAGGACGAUCAGCCACACUGGGACUGAGACACGGCCCAGACUCCUACGGGAGGCAGCAGUGGGGAAUUUUGGACAAUGGGCGAAAGCCUGAUCCAGCAAUGCCGCGUGUGUGAAGAAGGCCUUCGGGUUGUAAAGCACUUUUGUCCGGAAAGAAAUGGCUCUGGUUAAUACCUGGGGUCGAUGACGGUACCGGAAGAAUAAGGACCGGCUAACUACGUG
This 490-nucleotide ribosomal RNA is filed under the name uncultured bacterium. RNAcentral's name for it is "partial 16S ribosomal RNA". It matches the Rfam family "Bacterial small subunit ribosomal RNA", at positions 30 to 507 of the family's 1533-position model. The record is from RNAcentral.